GAACCCGUAGCUCAGCGGAACGAGAGCGCGACUCUGCGAAGGUCGAGGUCGUUGGUUCAAAUCCAACCGGGUUCA
RNAcentral lists this transfer RNA (75 nucleotides) under Acidobacteriota bacterium. RNAcentral's name for it is "Acidobacteria bacterium tRNA-Arg". It matches the Rfam family "tRNA". Rfam says of the family: Transfer RNA (tRNA) molecules are approximately 80 nucleotides in length. Their secondary structure includes four short double-helical elements and three loops (D, anti-codon, and T loops). Further hydrogen bonds mediate the characteristic L-shaped molecular structure. tRNAs have two regions of fundamental functional importance: the anti-codon, which is responsible for specific mRNA codon recognition, and the 3' end, to which the tRNAs corresponding amino acid is attached (by aminoacyl-tRNA synthetases). tRNAs cope with the degeneracy of the genetic code in two manners: having more than one tRNA (with a specific anti-codon) for a particular amino acid; and 'wobble' base-pairing, i.e. permitting non-standard base-pairing at the 3rd anti-codon position. RNAcentral also lists the same sequence under 1 other name. The record is from RNAcentral. Lineage: Bacteria; Pseudomonadati; Acidobacteriota.